Molecule: unclassified non-coding RNA, 346 nt
Filed under: soil metagenome
Description: partial contains 5.8S ribosomal RNA, internal transcribed spacer 2, and large subunit ribosomal RNA
Rfam family: 5.8S ribosomal RNA (bases 1-120)
Source: RNAcentral
GAUGAAGAACGCAGCGAAAUGCGAUACGUAAUGUGAAUUGCAGAAUUCAGUGAAUCAUCGAGUCUUUGAACGCACAUUGCGCCCCCUGGUAUUCCGGGGGGCAUGCCUGUCCGAGCGUCAUUGCUGCCCUCAAGCACGGCUUGUGUGUUGGGCCCCGUCCUCCGAUUCCGGGGGACGGGCCCGAAAGGCAGCGGCGGCACCGCGUCCGGUCCUCGAGCGUAUGGGGCUUUGUCACCCGCUCUGUAGGCCCGGCCGGCGCUUGCCGAUCAACCCAAAUUUUUAUCCAGGUUGACCUCGGAUCAGGUAGGGAUACCCGCUGAACUUAAGCAUAUCAAUAAGCGGAGGA